UGGGGAAUAUUGGACAAUGGGCGAAAGCCUGAUCCAGCAAUGCCGCGUGAGUGAUGAAGGCCUUCGGGUUGUAAACUCCUGUCGACCGGGACGAAAGUAGUCCGACCCAAUACGUCGGGCUAUCGACUGUACCGGUGGAGGAAGCCACGGCUAACUCUGUGCCAGCAGCCGCGGUAAUACAGAGGUGGCAAGCGUUGUUCGGAAUUACUGGGCGUAAAGGGCGCGUAGGCGGUCUUUUAAGUCUUGUGUGAAAUCCCUCGGCUCAACUGAGGAACUGCACGGGAUACUGGAAGACUUGAGUUCGGGAGAGGGAAGCGGAAUUCCGGGUGUAGCGGUGAAAUGCGUAGAUAUCCGGAGGAACACCGGUGGCGAAGGCGGCUUCCUGGACCGAUCACUGACGCUGAGGCGCGAAAGCUAGGGGAGCAAA
RNAcentral lists this ribosomal RNA (427 nucleotides) under uncultured bacterium. RNAcentral's name for it is "bacterial SSU rRNA". It matches the Rfam family "Bacterial small subunit ribosomal RNA", at positions 355 to 772 of the family's 1533-position model. The record is from RNAcentral.